GGCUCAGAUUGAACGCUGGCGGCAUGCCUUACACAUGCAAGUCGAGCGGCAGCAUGAUCUAGCUUGCUAGAUUGAUGGCGAGUGGCGAACGGGUGAGUAAUACAUCGGAACGUGCCCUGUAGUGGGGGAUAACUAGUCGAAAGAUUAGCUAAUACCGCAUACGACCUGAGGGUGAAAGUGGGGGACCGCAAGGCCUCAUGCUAUAGGAGCGGCCGAUGUCUGAUUAGCUAGUUGGUGGGGUAAAGGCCCACCAAGGCGACGAUCAGUAGCUGGUCUGAGAGGACGAUCAGCCACACUGGGACUGAGACACGGCCCAGACUCCUACGGGAGGCAGCAGUGGGGAAUUUUGGACAAUGGGCGAAAGCCUGAUCCAGCAAUGCCGCGUGUGUGAAGAAGGCCUUCGGGUUGUAAAGCACUUUUGUCCGGAAAGAAAUGGCUCUGGUUAAUACCUGGGGUCGAUGACGGUACCGGAAGAAUAAGGACCGGCUAACUACGUGCCAGCAGCCGCGGUAAUACGUAGGGUCCAAGCGUUAAUCGGAAUUACUGGGCGUAAAGCGUGCGCAGGCGGUUGUGCAAGACCGAUGUGAAAUCCCCGAGCUUAACUUGGGAAUUGCAUUGGUGACUGCACGGCUAGAGUGUGUCAGAGGGGGGUAGAAUUCCACGUGUAGCAGUGAAAUGCGUAGAGAUGUGGAGGAAUACCGAUGGCGAAGGCACCCCCCUGGGAUAACACUGACGCUCAUGCACGAAAGCGUGGGGAGCAAACAGGAUUAGAUACCCUGGUAGUCCACGCCCUAAACGAUGUCAACUAGUUGUUGGGGAUUCAUUUCCUUAGUAACGUAGCUAACGCGUGAAGUUGACCGCCUGGGGAGUACGGUCGCAAGAUUAAAACUCAAAGGAAUUGUCGGGGACCCGCACAAGCGGUGGAUGAUGUGGAUUAAUUCGAUGCAACGCGAAAAACCUUACCUACCCUUGACAUGCCACUAACGAAGCAGAGAUGCAUUAGGUGCUCGAAAGAGAAAGUGGACACAGGUGCUGCAUGGCUGUCGUCAGCUCGUGUCGUGAGAUGUUGGGCUAAGUCCCGCAACGAGCGCAACCCUUGUCUCUAGUUGCUACGAAAGGGCACUCUAGAGAGACUGCCGGUGACAAACCGGAGGAAGGUGGGGAUGACGUCAAGUCCUCAUGGCCCUUAUGGGUAGGGCUUCACACGUCAUACAAUGGUGCAUACAGAGGGUUGCCAAGCCGCGAGGUGGAGCUAAUCCCAGAAAAUGCAUCGUAGUCCGGAUCGUAGUCUGCAACUCGACUACGUGAAGCUGGAAUCGCUAGUAAUCGCGGAUCAGCAUGCCGCGGUGAAUUCGUUCC
Molecule: ribosomal RNA, 1359 nt
Filed under: Ralstonia pickettii
Lineage: Bacteria; Pseudomonadati; Pseudomonadota; Betaproteobacteria; Burkholderiales; Burkholderiaceae
Also listed under: 1 other name
Description: bacterial SSU rRNA
Rfam family: Bacterial small subunit ribosomal RNA
Source: RNAcentral